GGGAGCUUGCUCCCUGAUGUUAGCGGCGGACGGGUGAGAAACACGUGGGUAACCUGCCUGUAAGACUGGGAUAACUCCGGGAAACCGGGGCUAAUACCGGAUGGUUGUUUGAACCGCAUGGUUCAGACAUAAAAGGUGGCUUCGGCUACCACUUACAGAUGGACCCGCGGCGCAUUAGCUAGUUGGUGAGGUAACGGCUCACCAAGGCGACGAUGCGUAGCCGACCUGAGAGGGUGAUCGGCCACACUGGGACUGAGACACGGCCCAGACUCCUACGGGAGGCAGCAGUAGGGAAUCUUCCGCAAUGGACGAAAGUCUGACGGAGCAACGCCGCGUGAGUGAUGAAGGUUUUCGGAUCGUAAAGCUCUGUUGUUAGGGAAGAACAAGUGCCGUUCAAAUAGGGCGGCACCUUGACGGUACCUAACCAGAAAGCCACGGCUAACUACGUGCCAGCAGCCGCGGUAAUACGUAGGUGGCAAGCGUUGUCCGGAAUUAUUGGGCGUAAAGGGCUCGCAGGCGGUUUCUUAAGUCUGAUGUGAAAGCCCCCGGCUCAACCGGGGAGGGUCAUUGGAAACUG
Molecule: ribosomal RNA, 577 nt
Filed under: Bacillus sp. DK-15
Lineage: Bacteria; Bacillati; Bacillota; Bacilli; Caryophanales; Bacillaceae
Description: bacterial SSU rRNA
Rfam family: Bacterial small subunit ribosomal RNA
Source: RNAcentral